AUACGGAGGGUCCGAGCGUUAUCCGGAAUCAUUGGGUUUAAAGGGUCCGUAGGCGGGAAUCUAAGUCAGUGGUGAAAUCUUGCAGCUCAACUGUAAAAUUGCCAUUGAUACUGGAUUUCUUGAAUUAGUGUGAAGUGAUUAGAAUGUGUAGUGUAGCGGUGAAAUGCAUAGAUAUUACACAGAAUACCAAUUGCGAAGGCAGAUCACUAACACUAUAUUGACGCUGAGGGACGAAAGCGUGGGGAGCGAACAGGAUUAGAAACCCGGGUAGUCC
RNAcentral lists this ribosomal RNA (274 nucleotides) under uncultured bacterium. Its description in RNAcentral is "partial 16S ribosomal RNA". It matches the Rfam family "Bacterial small subunit ribosomal RNA", at positions 523 to 796 of the family's 1533-position model. The record is from RNAcentral.